CGAAGGAUGUAGCUCAGCUCAUUUAGAGAUGAUAUCCAUCAAAUGAAAAACGUUUGGUAGCUGAAGUAUCAAGUAAAAUAUGACUUCUGCAUGAUCAUGCUGUUGUACUCCAAUUCAUUCACGCAUCAUAGAUGGGAUACACUGAGUUCUGGAGACCCGUCUGGGCUCUGCUCGGAGAUCGCCUCCGCAAUGCUGAGCCAUGACCGUAGGUUUACAGUGGUGGGGUUUGCUGUGGUUGGUCUGGUCGUGGCAAGGUGUCAACACUGACGAUCUCGCCAUCUCUGUGCAAGCCUGAGCUAAACGAGGCAUCCCUGCUCUCAGGCUGACCUGCAACCUCACGUGAUGUAGUGUCUGCUCCUCUCAAAGGUGACAUGUUAUUUCAUGAAAUAAUUUGUCUUAGGCUAAUGGUUCACUUCAGUUUUGAUCUCUUUCUAUUUCGUAGAAUAUCUUAGGCUAACGCCUUGGUGGAGACUGAUGUAGCCUGCUAUGUGGAUUCUGAAAUAGAUUUAUACAUGAAUGCUAAAGCUCCAUGGUGAAUCAUGGUUUUGUCUUUGA
This is a long non-coding RNA of Lolium perenne, 555 nucleotides long. RefSeq lists it as uncharacterized. NCBI's taxonomy places the organism in Eukaryota, Viridiplantae, Streptophyta, Magnoliopsida, Poales, Poaceae. The record is from RefSeq and is a predicted model, not a curated record.